This 74-nucleotide transfer RNA is filed under the name Spirochaetaceae bacterium. Its description in RNAcentral is "tRNA-Ala". It matches the Rfam family "tRNA". Rfam says of the family: Transfer RNA (tRNA) molecules are approximately 80 nucleotides in length. Their secondary structure includes four short double-helical elements and three loops (D, anti-codon, and T loops). Further hydrogen bonds mediate the characteristic L-shaped molecular structure. tRNAs have two regions of fundamental functional importance: the anti-codon, which is responsible for specific mRNA codon recognition, and the 3' end, to which the tRNAs corresponding amino acid is attached (by aminoacyl-tRNA synthetases). tRNAs cope with the degeneracy of the genetic code in two manners: having more than one tRNA (with a specific anti-codon) for a particular amino acid; and 'wobble' base-pairing, i.e. permitting non-standard base-pairing at the 3rd anti-codon position. Lineage: Bacteria; Pseudomonadati; Spirochaetota; Spirochaetia; Spirochaetales; Spirochaetaceae. The record is from RNAcentral.
GGGGAUAUAGCUCAGUUGGCUAGAGCGCCAGCUUUGCAAGCUGGAUGUCGUGAGUUCGAAUCUCAUUAUCUCCA